UACGUAGGGUGCAAGCGUUGUCCGGAAUUAUUGGGCGUAAAGAGCUUGUAGGCGGUUUGUCGCGUCUGCUGUGAAAUUUCGGGGCUCAACCCCGAACUUGCAGUGGGUACGGGCAGACUAGAGUGUGGUAGGGGAGACUGGAAUUCCUGGUGUAGCGGUGAAAUGCGCAGAUAUCCGGAGGAACACCGAUGGCGAAGGCAGCCCCCUGGGCUGAGAUUGACGCUCAGGCACGAAAGCGUGGGGAGCAAACAGG
Molecule: ribosomal RNA, 253 nt
Filed under: uncultured bacterium
Lineage: Bacteria
Description: partial 16S ribosomal RNA
Rfam family: Bacterial small subunit ribosomal RNA
Source: RNAcentral